UACGGAGGGGGCAAGCGUUGUUCGGAAUUACUGGGCGUAAAGGGCUCGUAGGCGGCCAACUAAGUCGGAUGUGAAAUCCCCAGGCUUAACCUGGGAACUGCAUCCGAUACUGGAUGGCUUGAAUCCGGGAGAGGGAUGCAGAAUUCCAGGUGUAGCGGUGAAAUGCGUAGAUAUCUGGAGGAACACCGGUGGCGAAGGCGGCAUCCUGGACCGGCAUUGACGCUGAGGAGCGAAAGCCAGGGGAGCAAACGGG
Molecule: ribosomal RNA, 253 nt
Filed under: uncultured bacterium
Lineage: Bacteria
Description: partial 16S ribosomal RNA
Rfam family: Bacterial small subunit ribosomal RNA
Source: RNAcentral